CCAAUAGCGUAUAUUAAAGUUGUUGCAGUUAAAAAGCUCGUAGUUGAAUUUCGGGAUCAAGGAAUCGGUCAUGCCUCGGUAUGUACUGGUUUUAUUGGUUCUCACCUUCUAAAGAACCAUAAUGUCAUUCAUUUGAUGUUAUGGGGAAUUAGGACUGUUACCUUGAAAAAAUUAGAGUGUUUAAAGCAGGCUUACGCUUGAAUACAUUAGCAUGGAAUAAUGAACUAGGACAUCAGAUUCUAUUUUGUUGGUUUCUAGGAUCGAUGUAAUGAUUAAUAGGGAUAGUUGGGGGCAUUAGUAUUCAAUUGUCAGAGGUGAAAUUCUUGGAUUUAUUGAAGACUAACUACUGCGAAAGCAUUUGCCAAGGAUGUUUUCAUUAAUCAAGAACGAAAGUUAGGGGAUCGAAGACGAUCAGAUACCGUCGUAGUCUUAACCAUAAACUAUGCCGACUAGGGAUCGGAUGAUGUUAAUUUUAUAAUGACUCAUUCGGCACCUUACG
RNAcentral lists this ribosomal RNA (499 nucleotides) under uncultured Glomeromycotina. RNAcentral's name for it is "partial small subunit ribosomal RNA". It matches the Rfam family "Eukaryotic small subunit ribosomal RNA", at positions 591 to 1092 of the family's 1831-position model. The record is from RNAcentral. Lineage: Eukaryota; Fungi; Glomeromycota.